CCUACGGGAGGCAGCAGUGAGGAAUAUUGGUCAAUGGACGCAAGUCUGAACCAGCCAUGCCGCGUGCAGGAAGACGGCUCUAUGAGUUGUAAACUGCUUUUGUACGAGGGUAAACGCAGAUACGCGUAUCUGUCUGAAAGUAUCGUACGAAUAAGGAUCGGCUAACUCCGUGCAAGUAGCCGCGGUAAUACGGAGGAUUCAAGCGUUAUCCGGAUUUAGUGGGUUUAAAGGGUGCGUAGGCGGUCGGAUAAGUUAGAGGUGAAAUCCCGAGGCUCAACUUCGGAAUUGCCUCUGAUACUGUUCGGCUAGAGAGUAGUUGCGGUAGGCGGAAUGUAUGGUGUAGCGGUGAAAUGCUUAGAGAUCAUACAGAACACCGAUUGCGAAGGCAGCUUACCAAGCUACUUCUGACGUUGAGGCACGAAAGCGUGGGGAGCAAACAGGAUUAGAUACCCGUGUAGUC
This 460-nucleotide ribosomal RNA is filed under the name uncultured bacterium. RNAcentral describes it as "partial 16S ribosomal RNA". It matches the Rfam family "Bacterial small subunit ribosomal RNA", at positions 338 to 795 of the family's 1533-position model. The record is from RNAcentral.